CCUACGGGAGGCAGCAGUGAGGAAUAUUGGUCAAUGGGCGGAAGCCUGAACCAGCCAAGUCGCGUGAGGGAAUAAGGCCCUACGGGUCGUAAACCUCUUUUGCCGGGGAGCAAGGGCGGGGACGUGUCCCGGCCCGGAGAGUACCCGGAGAAAAAGCAUCGGUUAACUCCGUACCAGAAGACGCGGUAAUAAGGAGGAUGCGAGCGUUAUUCGGAUUUAAGGGGGUGAAAGGGUGCGUAGGCGGGCAUUUAGCUCAGCGGUAAAAAUUCGGGGCUCAACCACCGCCGGCCGUUGAAACUGGGGGCCUUGAGGGGGCGAGAGGAAGGCGGAAUGCGUGGUGUAGCGGUGAAAUGCAUAGAUAUCACGCAGAACCCCGAUUGCGAAGGCAGCCUUCCGGCGCCCUACUGACGCUGAGGCACGAAAGUGCGGGGAUCGAACAGGAUUAGAUACCCCUGUAGUC
RNAcentral lists this ribosomal RNA (460 nucleotides) under uncultured bacterium. RNAcentral's name for it is "partial 16S ribosomal RNA". It matches the Rfam family "Bacterial small subunit ribosomal RNA", at positions 338 to 795 of the family's 1533-position model. The record is from RNAcentral.